Molecule: ribosomal RNA, 406 nt
Filed under: uncultured bacterium
Lineage: Bacteria
Description: partial 16S ribosomal RNA
Rfam family: Bacterial small subunit ribosomal RNA
Source: RNAcentral
AUUGAACGCUGGCGGCAGGCUUAACACAUGCAAGUCGAGCGAGCGGCGGACGGGUGAGUAAUGUCUGGUCAACUUCCUGAUGGAGGGGGAUAACUACUGGAAACGGUAGCUAAUACCGCAUACCCUCAGAUGUGCCCAUGUGGGAUUAGCUAGUGGGGGGGGUAAUGGCUCACAUAGGCGACGAUCCCUAGCUGGUCUGAGAGGAUGACCAGCCCAACUGGAACUGAGACACGGUCCAGACUCUUACGGGAGGCAGCAGUGGGGAAUAUUGCACAAUGGGCGAAAGCCGGAUGCAGCCAUGCCGCGUGUGUGAAGAAGGCCUUCGGGUUGUAAAGCACGUUCAGCGGGGAGGCGUUACUCGCAGAAGAAGCACCGGCUAACUCCGUGCCAGCAGCCGCGGUAAUUC